CAUCUGGCUGCCGGUAGGAGGGUUCACAGCGGAGUGUGUGAAGUUGUUGACUGAAGGCAACUGGCAGGCAUGGGCUUGUCACAAGCUGGAGCAAGUACAGCUUCUGGUACAGGGGUUAGCACUGUUGCCUCACAGCAAGAGGGAUCCUGGUUUGCUUCAUGGUCGGGCCUUUCUGUGUGGAGUUUGCAUGUUCUCCACAUGCAUGCGUGGGUUCUCUCCAGGCUUCAAUCAUCCAGUCCACCAAACAACAUCAAACAAGAGUCAGUGGCAUAAUAAGC
Molecule: long non-coding RNA, 278 nt
Organism: Cheilinus undulatus (humphead wrasse)
Lineage: Eukaryota; Metazoa; Chordata; Actinopteri; Labriformes; Labridae
Exons: 3
Source: RefSeq, a predicted model, not a curated record